GUCAAGCUGGUUGGGAAAUUUCAGUGAGAGAGAGAGCAAUCAGGCAACAAACAAAAGCAGAAGUUUGGUUGUCAUGGAUGUAUUUUUAAUGCAUGUUCCAGGAGCCUUGCUUGUCUGAAGAUGUGCAGAGACAGACCUGUCUGGACAAGACAAAGGAGAUCACUAAGUGAUUCUACAGGGCACCGUGGAAGAUGAGCACGGCCUCCAUGCCCAGCAUCACCAGGGAGAACCCAGUGCAGAAGAGGGCCCAGCUCCGGUGCCACUGAGAUUUGGUUACAAGGUUCUUUUCCUCUCUGUUCUUGGAAUUUUAGAAAAGCAGACAAAUGUCUAGCAGAGUGUCCAACUUUCAUGUAUAUCCAUAAGAACCAAACUGGGGACUUUCAUCCAUUCAGCUUGAAGGAAAUAUCCCUGCCAAGUCACUAUCUCUACACUGAUCUUGUACUAGUAGUGUACAUGAAACCUGUUCAUGACUGAAUCUUUAAAGCCUGGCCAAAUGGUAUUUUUACAUGUCAAUGUGGAUCUAAUUACAUUUUCAAUAGACUGCAUCGUUAAUUGCAUGAAUAAUUGUUGUAAUUUAAGAUUAAAUACUGAUUUCAUUUCAAAAAUAAGGACAAAAUCUCUUUCUGUCUGUAGACUGGAUAGCAUUUUGCCCUGUUCAGGCAUAAGUUUAUUGCUGGCAUAUGGCACAUUUUAAAAUUAUUAUUGUUAUUAUUAUUAUUAUUAUGUGUGUAAUAAUCUGAACUGGAAAUAACUGUAAUAACCUACACUCGAAGUAACCUGUUUUUGUUAGUUUGAUGGAUAGGUUAUUCCACUGUCAGGAAUUAAACAGAGAUAUUGCAAUGUUAGCUUCAUAUACAUUUUCCUGGUAUCAUCAAGGCCAUGUCUGGAGAGAAAAAUUGUGUUUGUAUAGAGAUGGUAAGUGGAGCAGUUCAUACUCUUAGUUAUGUUGUGCCCUCUGGCAAGCCUGCCAGGAGAGUGCUGUGCUUGUUUUCUGAUGAGAAACCUCCUCCACAUUCCAGCCUGAGCGUAUCUAUUGUUUUCAGAUGCAAACAGAUGUGUUCCUUACCUAAGGGAAGCUCUCAAAAAUAUGGAAGUAAAACAGAAGAAACUGAUGUGAAACUACAACAGUAUUUGACCUGUCUGCAUGCAUUAAUAAUCUCAACUUUAGCUGAAGGCAGAAGUCUGUUAUAUUCAGUUCUGUUUAUUUGCUUAGUUUCUGCCCUACAGUGCAUAAGAGCAAUGGAAGAUAUGAGUAUUAACUUCAUGCUUUUAAUUUGAAUUAGCAUUUUGUUAAAUGUGUAUGUGUUUAUUAUAUCAUUCCUAAUUGUUGAAGGCCAGAUAGUUCAGAUUUGUGGAGCUGGUGAAAGAAGGGUAAACAUUUAUAUUCUUUAUUCUAACAAACCACCUUGCAUUUCUCAGGCCAAAAUUACAGAACUUCUGUUGACCAUACUAUAUAUCCAUAAUAGCUCUUCCUAAUAGUUCUCAUAUAGUGAAUGAAUUUUAUUUUGGUGCAUCUCUGCUGAAGGAUAACAACGCAUUUAUUCAUCAACUCUUGAAGGUUUUUUUUGUCUGUUUGUUUGAGAUUUUUAAUUCUAUUACUUUUCUAUCUGCCGUGGACUGACCUGUCUUUUCUAGCCUUCAAACUGAUGCCUGGAGGAUGUUCAGACACUUGUUACACUUCGGAUGUCUGUAGGAGGUGAAGCGACAACCCACAAGUGGGUCAGGGCUGCAGCUCCUUCAUGAACGCAAACGUGCAGAAGCUUGUGGGCGUGCACCUUAUCAUAUCUAUGUCUCAGCUACAGCAAAGACUAUAUGAAGAAAUCACAAAGUGCUAGUGUUGAGUACCUACUACUAGUAUUCAGAAAAAGUAGCGUGUGUUGGAGGACAGCAGGAUGAGGGUGUGAGCAAAGAGAGAAAGGAAGUGUUCAGCACGUAUAAGUGCAGAGAUGGUGAAGAAUUACUGAGAUGAGGUGCAGUAAGCCAACAACUCAUCUGCAGUACCUCAUCUGCACAGCAGCACGUCACAGUAUGACAUUGUCUGACCAGCAGCUCUCCAGCACAUAAUGCUGUGCUGUAUUGUGCCAGAGUAUAGAUAGAUGUCCUGGAUUAGAGAAUUCUCUACAAGGUUACUUUCGUCCCACAACAAUUUGCAAAACUAGAAGCUAGGAUGCCACAAACCUUAUUUAAAAGCAAAGACAUCUCAGAUAAAAAAGAACUGUAUAUUCUUGCAAAUAAGAAUUUCUGAAAUGAAAGUUUUCAUGGGCUAGGAUUUAGUGACUUUCAUGCUGAUAUUUGAAACUGUCGGGCCUCCAUGAAGAACAGUCAUGAAUUUCUUCUAGAUUUUCUAAAAGAUUUUGACAUCAGACCCUGUGAUUGGAAAAAGUAUUAUUGAGGCAGCCAUUAGCUUGAUGUCUCCAGUAAUACAGACCCAGUUUUCAAAAACAGCAUUUCAAAAUGAAAAUAACUCCUCAAUGCAUUCUCUGCAUGCUGAUUGACCUUUUUCGGAGAAUCAUGGAAUCUCUUAGCUUAAAGACCAUCUAGUUCCAAUCUCUCUGUAGGGGAAGGAUUGCCAUCCACCAGAUCAGGAUUCCCAGGGCUGCAUCCAACCCAGCCUUGAAUGCCUCCAGGAAUUAAAUAGGCUCUUGUUAACACUCUCCUUCACUUCUCUAUGGACAUCUCUUUGUUUCUACCUAUGUCUGGGCCCUGUCCUACAGCAGAAUCAUUAGUGAGGCUCAGCAGGGAAAAAUCUAUAGACUCUCAUCACUGGAGAGUAUCUACCUAAAGAAAAAAAUAAAUGGCAUAAAAUCAGAAUUCUGGGGUGCUGGAAUUUACCUCCAGAAGCACAGAAAAAGCCAAAUCUGGGAAAUUUCAUGUUCAUCCUUUCCUGCAGGAAUGACCGAAGCCAACUGUUUGACCAGCUGUGUGUGGUCUCUCUUGCUUAAACAAGCAUUUUUAUUCAGAACUACAGAUUUAUGUGACAAAAUGUGAUGCCAUCUUCUUGUUGUAGGUAGUCAAUGACAGUAGCACCAUUCAAGAGCGACAGUAAAUGAUACUGGUUUAGUUCUUUCUAAUUAUGCUUUCCAAACGAUCCUGAGAAAUGUUUGAGUAAGGGCUUAAACUACUGUGGAGGAGAUCCCAUACACAAAACCCUCCAAGGUACUUUUGAUGUAGAGGUUUUGUCCAAAGGAAGGGCAGCAGAAUGUAUCACUUUUUCACUUUGCCUAAGCCUUGAUAGUAGAAAUUUAGUGUGCCAUUGGCUCCAUUAUUUUAUACUGCAUAAAUUGCGUGUAUUGUACAAAACUAUAUAAACCCAGAUAUAUUUUAUUUAUUUAUUUUUAAAUUUAAGGGUAUCAAACUGUCAGACUGGAAGCUGCUGUGUUUCCUCAAUCCUGGAAUGAUGAAACUGUAGUGCUUCAAAGAGAAAAGAACAAGAAUUUAAAAAAAACGAUAUGGCAAAAAUAAUGGAAGCAUUCAAAGAAACACUUGCUUAGAAUAUGGAAAUUGACUUUUCUUAAGUAAUCUCAAUUCCAAAUAAUUCAGUUUUAACAUCAAAGAGCAAGUAAUGUUUCAGAUUUUAAAGUCAAUGAGAAAUAGUUUGAAAUGAAAUAUAAACUAGAACUAUCUGCAGCAAAAUGAUAAUAACUAGUUCAAGACUCUUUUAGAAGAAGAAUUUAAGCAGCCUCAUUCAGAAGUAAACUAUAAAGUUUAUUUUUUUCACAGAGCAAACAAAAGUUCCUGUAGAAAUUCUCAAGAAUUAUAAAUAUCAUUAUAGACAACUAUCUUUGUUCUAUCAUGAUAGACUGCUAUCUUUGUUCUCUAUUUGUUAUUUCUGAGUGUGCAGCAUUUUUAAACCUUGGUUUUCAUGCUACGGCAAUGUGAUUCAUAUCUUGUGGCUAAAAUGAUUGUCUUUUCUUUCCAAAAUUUCUGUUGUGAGAAGACAUCUGUUGAAAUGAAGAUAGCUUGUGGAUGAAAUAUGUAAAUUACAGCCUCCACCGGUAAGAGGAGGUGACAUCACAAGACAUGUGACAACAUUCUUCACACUGUUGCAGUAGAAUAGACACAUAACCCACUGUAUAUGAGGAAACAUUUUUUCUACUUUGAAAAAAAGCUUGCAUGUGAUGCUUGCAUGUGAUGAUGAUUUGCAUAAUGUCCAUGUUUUAGAUAUAUAUGUUACUCUUGUUGCAGAUUCAACUGUCAUUUGAAAUGAUAUAAUCACAGCUACUACUCCUCCGUAAAAUCUAUCAUUUCUAUUACAUAGAACAAAGACUCCUUUCUAUAGCAAGAAACUUGUUCAGUGUGAAAUCCAGCUUUAAGUCAUAAGAGCAAAGGGUUUUUCGUAUUCAAAUGUAGUUUAUUGGGCUGUAAUGGGAACUGUAUGACAUGUUAGAACAAGAGUACUCAUUACAGGAGCUAUGUACUGCUGAUGGCAUCUCCCAAGCUUCGAAGAGCAUUUAUGUAGCUAGACUGUAAAUCCAUAUUUUUGCACCUCUGUUCUUCUCUAUCCUCUUUCUCAGCUGAGGACAACUUUCAGAAAGAGCAGAUCUCCAUCCUUUCUGCUAACUGCUCCAUAAUGUCCACCAAAUACCCACCUUAUACUCCUCACUCCUUGAUAGCUUGGGAGAUUCUAUUAGAUUCUCACCAAAUAGGAUCAUUACCUCAUCUAUUUUUAACCUCAUAUAUUUCUAGUCUCAUAUUUCUAACCAUAAAACAGCCCAGUCCUGCACAAGUGCCCAGAGCAAGUACUGCAGGAAUCUACAGGUUGCCACACUGUGGGAGGUGCACAGCUGUUUCUGAUGUUGUAUAUGUGUAAAAUUUGUUUUGUUUGCUACUGAUAAAACACCAGUCUUCCUGUGGAAAUGGUGUUCGCACUACAGAGUGGAUUCAGAUGAGCUUCCUGGAAUCAUUCUGUGACUGAGACAGUUCUGUCAUUUUGUUUUGUAACAUGGAAGGAAACAUCCACAAAGUUCUGGUGUGAGAAUUUUUGCGUGAAAUACUGUUAUGUUGCUACAGACAGGCAAAACUUUCACUUGUGAUGAUUUUGUAAUUCAGGCUGCCAUAAGCCGACUACUGUGCUCUUGUAUCUCCUCAGUAACUUAAAAAUGUUUGUGUUUAAUGCACAUAGUAUAAAAGUAUUAAUACUCAUUUCUCUCAUUUUUAGCAAUAGCUUCAGAAAGUUUUUUUUUAAAAAAAACCUUUUCGUUUGUCAUCAUGGGCUCCUCAAACAGCUGCUAUUACUUUCUCAGUUAAGGGCUGUGCCAGGCUUUUGGAUGAAUCAGAAACAGCAUCAAAAUGCCUCUAUUUUCUAAUUCAGUCCCGAUUUUUGGUUACCAGAAAAAUUUUGCCUGGCAAUUGCUACCACAUAAGAAAUAGGUUACAUUUCAGUCCUGCUUCCAGCACAUAAACAACGCAGUACAUCACUGACAGAAUGAGAGAGAAAAUGAUCCCUCCGAGGUUUUUUAGCUGUCACGUCACCAGGCAAAUGUGGAAGAACGGGGAAGAAUGAGUCGUCUUUUCACUCAUAAAAAUUGCAAGCAGAUCACCGUGUAGGAGCUUGUACUUCUAUCUCCCUAACACCUGUUUUAUAGAAAAAGAGAAGGCCCCAACUUCACUACUGUCAAGACUCCACUGCAGGUAUGCACUCCCACCUACCUGAAAGCCUGUCUGCAGUUAUGCUGAAGAGGGUUCUCAACCUGAGCAAAGAGAAAACUAGAAGUUCCUUAUAGAAUGCCCACAUAGCUAUAAUGCUUCAUACCAGAUUUUUUAUUCUGUGUACACAUAUGGUCUUUAGUGACAUAUAUUGUUUCCUAGCUCUUAUUGGGUGCUUUAUUUAAAUAGCUCAGAUAAAAGCCAAUAGCAUGGUUGUCAUGUGAAAGAUUAAAAAGCAUAAUGAAUUGCUUUAGGAUUAUUAAUUGUUCCAGUGAAACCUGUCUGUUGUGGUUUUGAUAUGUUUAGCUGCAUUGGGGAAAGCACUGCGUGCUCAGACAGAUGAUGAUGGGAGGAAGAGCUCUGCUUCACUGCAGUGUUUACAGCUGGCAAAAACAUGACAAAUUUUCUGGUAUCAUAUGCCUCUAUUGGCUGUAGGCUAUUCAAGCUGUAUUAAAUAAUUAUUUUACUUAUUUAAUCAAAAGGCUUAUAAAGAAUGAGAAAAUUGUUUCUUGCAA
Meleagris gallopavo (turkey) is the source of this 6161-nucleotide long non-coding RNA. RefSeq lists it as uncharacterized. NCBI's taxonomy places the organism in Eukaryota, Metazoa, Chordata, Aves, Galliformes, Phasianidae. The record is from RefSeq and is a predicted model, not a curated record.